AUGGUUUUCAAUGCCACCGCUGUGAUGGACACACUCACACUCUCGCAAGUGACACAGGAAAACAUCAGGGCCAUAUGCUUGGAGAUGGGCGGCAAAACAUCUAGGAGCUUAUCUGGCAUUCUCGAUCUCAGUCGGGACAACCACUCAUUGGCAUCUCGAGCUCCUUCGUCUCCGGACACGGUGGCCUUCUCCUACUGCCUACCCUCUACUGUUGUCGCCCAGGGCUUCCUCUUCAUUGGCGCACCCCGGCCAGAACGCUCCCGCCACUUUGUUGUCUACACCCCCUUACGGACCAACACUCUACUCCCGAGCAUGUACGUCGUCCGGCUCACCAAACUAGAUGUUAGCGGGGUGGAUGUCAAGAUCCCGUAUGCGCCGCACGCCGGCAACGCGAUGUUCGUGCUCGACACCACGUUCACCUACCUGAAGCCGGAGACCUAUGUGAUUCUCCGUGAGCAGUUCAUGUCGCAGAUGACGGAGUACCGCGUGGCGCCGUCGAUGGGCGACCUCGACACCUGCUACAACUUCACUGGUCUGACGAGAAUGAGUAUGCCAUCCAUCACACUAUGGUUCGAAGGAUGGGCAUAUAUUGUCCCCGGCAUGGAACAAAUGAUGUAUUUUGGGCGUCGGGGAGAUAUCUUCUCCGUUGGGUGCCUCGCAUUUGCUGCGGCAUCAGACUUGCCACCGGGGAUCACUGCGGUCAUCGGCACCCUGCUGCAGGAGAGGACAGAGGUGGUGUAUGACGUUCAUGGAGGGAAGAUGGGGUUUUCCCAUAAACAAUGCUGGUGA
Molecule: ribosomal RNA, 789 nt
Filed under: Triticum aestivum (bread wheat)
Lineage: Eukaryota; Viridiplantae; Streptophyta; Magnoliopsida; Poales; Poaceae
Description: partial small subunit ribosomal RNA
Source: RNAcentral